AACUUCGGUUUGGGUGGCGGACGGGUGUGUAACGCGUAAAGAACUUGCCUCACAGUUAGGGACAACAUUUGGAAACGAAUGCUAAUACCUGAUAUUGUGAUUUUAGGGCAUCCUAAGAUUAUGAAAGCUAUAUGCGCUGUGAGAGAGCUUUGCGUCCCAUUAGCUAGUUGGAGAGGUAACGGCUCACCAAGGCGAUGAUGGGUAGCCGGCCUGAGAGGGUGAACGGCCACAAGGGGACUGAGACACGGCCCUUACUCCUACGGGAGGCAGCAGUGGGGAAUAUUGGACAAUGGACCAAAAGUCUGAUCCAGCAAUUCUGUGUGCACGAUGACGUUUUUCGGAAUGUAAAGUGCUUUCAGUUGGGAAGAAAAAAAUGACGGUACCAACAGAAGAAGUGACGGCUAAAUACGUGCCAGCAGCCGCGGUAAUACGUAUGUCACAAGCGUUAUCCGGAUUUAUUGGGCGUAAAGCGCGUCUAGGUGGUUAUGUAAGUCUGAUGUGAAAAUGCAGGGCUCAACUCUGUAUUGCGUUGGAAACUGCAUGACUAGAGUACUGGAGAGGUAAGCGGAACUACAAGUGUAGAGGUGAAAUUCGUAGAUAUUUGUAGGAAUGCCGAUGGGGAAGCCAGCUUACUGGACAGAUACUGACGCUAAAGCGCGAAAGCGUGGGUAGCAAACAGGAUUAGAUACCCUGGUAGUCCACGCCGUAAACGAUGAUUACUAGGUGUU
RNAcentral lists this ribosomal RNA (728 nucleotides) under uncultured Fusobacterium sp. RNAcentral's name for it is "bacterial SSU rRNA". It matches the Rfam family "Bacterial small subunit ribosomal RNA", at positions 82 to 824 of the family's 1533-position model. The record is from RNAcentral. Lineage: Bacteria; Fusobacteriati; Fusobacteriota; Fusobacteriia; Fusobacteriales; Fusobacteriaceae.